UUAAGAAACAGUGUCUUAUUCAGACUUUCCUUUUUUUUUUUCCUAGCUGUGCAUUUAAUUUAUAAUGUAGAGUGACAAGCCAGAUAAGCUCUCAGUGCUUCAGUGUCCCUUUCCAGAGCAGCAAGGUGACAGAGGUCAUCACACUUUUAGAACUGAGGAAAGCUCCAGGGGAGAUGGAGAGCACUAAAGUUUCUCCAUCUCUCUCUCUCUGUCUCUUUCUCUGUCUUUCUCGUGUGUGUGUGGGUGUGUGUGUGUGUGUGGUUUAAUUUGAAAUCCUGCUAAGUUUUCUUGGAGUUAAAUUAGACUUAAAAGCUGCGAGUUGAUGCUCAUGUUCCUGCCUUAUCCCAGCUCUACCGAGAACUAUAGUUCUCUUGUUAAAUGAGGACAAAACCCUGCUGUGGACAGUAGAAUAACAAGUCUUGCUGGCUGAGCCCUGAGGUUUGCACGAAGCAGAUGAAGGCUACGUGGGUCUUCCAUAGCCUCCAGAAGAUGAUCUCUUUUAGAGGAAAGAGAUGAGUUCCCAUCUAUUCUUCAUUGGGUAAUAAGACUUAAACAGCAAAGAUGGGUGAAUUUUAGGAAAAUCACUGUCUUUGGCAAAGUUCCUUGUAGAAUCCCAUACAGUUAACUCUUUCAACUUAGCAAAGAUACAUGGUGGACAUAAAAAUCAUGUCUAAUUUUAUGGGACAACUUGGGUUCUCAUAUUUUCUCACUUCUUUCAUGGUAACAUCUACGAUGCUCAACUUUUGUGACCAAAUAUGAUAAAAGUGGAAAAUUAAUACACUAACCUAUUAUGCACUCAACAUUAUAAGUUAUACUGUGGUCUCUGUUCAAGGCUCAGUCUCUCAUGAAAUAAGAUAUCAUCAGACCACAAGCUUCUAGAGAGGCAUGUGUAGACAGGGCCACAGUGCACAGCCAUUUGUUAAAGGAGUAGUUAAGAAGGGUGGGGACAGGGCGGGAGCUAUGCCAUGCUCGGCCCUGCAUUGUAAGGAGAAUUAUGUAUCCUAAAAUCAACAUAAGGAGGGGAUUAUUACUUCUAACCACUGAGACUUGGAUAGGGUAAUUAAUUUGCCCACAGAAAUUGUUAGAGCUGGGACCUGAAUCCAGAUCUGUUCAACUCCAAGACGGAGGCUUGUAUUCUAAUUUCAACAACCUCUAUUCAUGACGAGGCAUGAUAUGCCAGGGUGUACCAGAGAAAUAUAGACAGCACAUUGAGUGAUUUGAAAUUUAAUUUAGAUGUGAGACUCAAAAUAAGUCUAUCUUUCAGGCAGGUCACUUUGGGCUUGGUUUCCAGGUUCUAGAAAGUAUAUGUUCUUUCUUCCCAGAAAAAUUACUUAAGUAGUGAAGUUUGAGAAACCAAGACUUAUCUCAUGAAACCUUCUUACAUUUGUUAGGGAUCAAGUUCUUUGUUAAGCUGAAUCUAAGCAGCAGUAACAACAGUGCCUUAUUAUGGUCUGUGAAGUGCUUUAGCUCCAGAGGCCCUGACCUCUGAUGGUAAACAGAAACUUUUAUUUUGCAGGAGGCCAUUAUUGAAAACCGAGCUCUGUGGAUGACAAUCAAAAAAUGUGUUGGCUAUCAAUCAAAAAGUCAGUAUCGAAUAUGGCAGAGGAACUUGGCGAAUGAUUCCAGCUGGCCCCCGCUAAACCAGAUCUCCUACUCUGAUAUGCCUGGGCGUGGCAGGGGGGUGUCCUACAGCAAUCCUGUGUUUGAAAGCAAUGAGGAACAGCUCUGAAGGGAAUGUGAUAGCCAAGUGAUAUCACAGAGAAACAAUGACAAAGUGACCUGUCUCAGUGAUGUUAAAGCAGAGGGACUCUUAUAAUAUCAACUGGAGUUUGGGGGAUACCAAAAUCAAUAUCAAAUUAUGGUGACAAAUUAAAGUCUGUCUGAGAAAGUACUUUCUACAGAGAAGAACACCACCCCCUAGAAGAGUACAUUCCUCUUGGCUUUUGAAAGUAUUGGAGGCACCCGGUGGACCAUGGAUGGGCCAAGGAUUGAAGUUGGUCAAGAGAUUGGCAAGCCGAGGAAAACACAGAAUCUUUCUUCUUAGGAUAAGUCUUUCUUUUUUUCCUUUUGUAAAAAAAUGAGUUGAAGGGAAGUCAUACUAUGUAUAGUUAUAGAGUCGUAACAAGCUACAGUUCAGUUCUGAACUUUUACUUCAUUGAUGGAAAAACUAAUCUAUGGGAAUCAUCAUGGCAGUCUUGACUCUCUGAUUUCCUUUCCUGUGCAGUAAUUUUCAGGUUUGAAGCUUCUCCCUCUGCUUCUGGGUUUCCCCUACAUAUUGUUCAGGAUAAGUUCAGCCGACGCUCCAAUAACAACCCCCACAUCUCAGUGCCUUCAUAUGCUGGAGCUUCUUUCUUACUCCAGGUGACUCUAGGACAGCUGCACUGACAGUGCCGACUGAUGACCUGAUGGAUCCCCCUGGGCUCCAUGCUUCUGGUGGCAGGGGAAGGAAGAUACUGGAGACCACAUGGGGUGCUUCACAGUCUCAUCUCAAAGUCUAUUCUGCUCUCGUUUCACUAGCCAGGGAUUUGGCCACAGAGCUGGAAAGUGUGGUCUCUUGUGUCUGGGGACUCUUCAUAGUUCUGUGAGUGUGUGCGUGCGUGCGUGUGUGUGUGUGUGUGUGUGUGUUUCUGGGGAUUGAACCCAGAGCUUCAUGCACUCUAAACAAGCACUCUACCAUGGAGUUACACCUCCAGCCCUUAGGGGGUCUUCAUAGACAUGUGGCCUGUGCCCACACAGGUUCCCCUGCUUCCAAGGGCUUCGUGCUUGGUUUAAUGCUCUGCUGCUUCUAUGGUAUAACUUUUUAAACAAAGUUGCCUCAUUUUCAUUUUUGCACUGGGCCCCACAAAUGAUGUAGCUCUCUGACUCACAUUCUAGGGGAAGCAAGGAAAGUAGCAUCUCAAAGAGCCUGAGUAUUAUACACUGAACUCUUCUUCUCCCAACCCUGUGAAUGUCUCUGUUUUAGGAACUCCUAAUCUCAUGUGCUCAACUCCAAGAGUUUCCACUUUUCUGCUUCUUAUUUUUGAGAAAUUUUAGUCUCGUGCAUUUUGCAAAAUAUAUAUCAUCAUUAUAGAAGUCACCUCAUAACCUUUGCAUUUUCUAAGUUUAAGCCUUCAGUUUCUAGAAAACAACAAAAAAUUCUCUUAUUUUAUCACUAUUACAACUUGUUCAUAUUGUAUUAAUUCAGCAUAGAAAACACCCAGUUUUCUGUUAAGUCACUAGAUGAUAUUGAAUUCUAGGAGAACAUUCACAUACAGUAUUUCAAAGCAAAAGUAAAAUUUCAUCAUGAACAUGAAAUCCUAAAUGAGUGCUUUGAGCAGGACAUGAGUGUUCUGGUCCUGGUAGGCUUUGCUAUCUAUGAACAGCACCUGCCAGUGUCCCUUUCCCCAGCUGAGCUCUUGAGGAUAGUUGGUAGCUCUGGGACUGUGACUACAGCUGCUUCUGGGAAAAUCAGUGUCUCAUAGCCAUGAGGGUACCGGUGCUUCUGCUGCUGAUUUUAAAGUAGGGUAUGAGGAGGUCCAUGUCCCAAGGCUGCAUAAUCAUUGUCUCCUUUGGUACAGAAGGAAAUGUUUCCAUCUGCAAAGACAGCCUCACCACUGAUAUGGUGGCUCAAAACUCUUUUUUCUAAAACAGAUAGAUUUUUUUUCAUUUUCCAAAAGUAGACAGUUAUAGCAGGGGCAUAGAGGUAGCUCACAACCUCGUCAUGACUAAGAACAGUGUGCACAGUUAGUACUUUAAAAAUCCCCUCACCAAGUGCUUUCCCUCUACUAACUCAUUGGAAUUGCACAAUUCUCCAGUGACUACACAAGGAAGGGCUUAUCUUUCCCAGAUGAGAAAAUGGAGAUUUAGGUUGGUAAGAGCAGACCCAGACCUCAAACACAGAUCUUCUGAGCAAGUUUUAUAUUGCUCCCAAAUAGUUCCUAAUUAGAAAGUUCUAGUAGGGCAUGUUUUCAGAGUGAUCUCACAGUUAAGCAAAGAAUGGAUUUCUUAUUUGCCAGGUGGAAGGAGGUUACCCUUUGCUAAUAACAGGGCCUCUGUUCAAAUGAAUGCAGGCAUCCUGCCAGGCCUGGGACAAAGGUGUGCUAAAAACAAAACAAAACCAAAAAAAAAAAAGAGUAUCUGUUUGUCUUUCUGAGGCUGUGAGUUGCUCUUGCCUUGGUCCUCAUGUAUUCCAAUCUCAGAAACUGUCAAUGGCUGGCAGGAAGCAGGGGUAGAGGACUCUUGUCCCGCACUAGCCACCAACCCUAAAUCUUUGCGAAAGGGAUUCUUCUUAAAGACCGCCUUCUUGGGACCAACUGCAUCUUAGAAGCAGUAAUUGAUACUGGCUGAGCGCGGAAGGAGCUGGGGAACCGCGAGAGCAGCACUCAGAUACUUGAUAGAUGGUCACGGAAAAGAAGGUGCUUGAGCCCGCAGAACAGGGAUGAGGGGCAAAGAGCAGGUGGAAGGACCCACAGCUAAUGUGAAGACCCCAGCCCCAGCAGCCAGCUCUGAGGGAAGUGAAAACUGGGGAGCACAGGCUGUGUACCCGGUAAUAUCGCAGGUAUUAGUGGCUGGUCCAAGACCAAUUAGAGAAGGGAGUCAAGUAUCAGAUGGAACUUGAUUACCUGCAAAACCCCUUCCCCACUUGGGACACCCAGUGUCUGAGUCUUACACCAUGAUGUGAAUCAUUUACUACAACUGUCCACACAGAAUAUCACAUGGAUACACUUGGCAGAUGGGCUGGUGUGGACAUACCAAUUUGACAGCUCUUUGCCUUGGAUGGGAACUUCUAAUGGGGAUAAGAGCCUAGAAAAGAGGCAGAGUGAGGGCUCCUCACUGCCUAAUCAACAGCUCCAGGAAUAUUUUCGCUGUGUGUAUUUUCUUGAAAAGAGGUAUGGGAAAACUUUGAGUAAAUGAUCCUGGGAGAGGGCCCCAAAUGUGAGUAUAGAGUUACCUGCCCCAAUACACUUUCCUGAGCAAGAUUCGGAGAAGAAAAGGACAUCAUCAGUGAUUCAGAUAAUCAGAGGGGUCUCCCAUGUGUUCAUUCCAAGGUAUCCAAUGCUUGUCUGAUGAGAAGCACCCUGGCUUGUGCUCUCCCCACUCCACAUGCGAAAAUCCGAGAGUGGAAAUAUGUCUUGUCCUCAGUGUUCUCAUGUGCUCACAGAAAUGUGCAUGUACAGUAGCCGAUGUGGUGAUGGGAAAGUGAUUAUUUAUUCAGAAACUUGUAUUUAGUUUAUUCGAUAAUAAAUUAUUCUGUACAAAAGAGAUAAGUAAAUCUACAAUCCUAUUGUCCUAAAACUUCUGUCUUUCUGUCUCUGUCUCUGUUUCUGCCUCUCUCUCUCUCCAGGGAAGUCUUUCAUUCUGGCUAACACAAUCUGGAUGUUCUCUUCCAGCAAUGUGACUCAAAGUCACAUCUUCACAAAGUUCCAGGCACUUCCUCACUCCACGCAAGCUGUUAUUCCUGCAUUAUUCACAGGGCUUUACAGUUUGCAGAAUGUUUCCAUACUUUUUCUCUCAUUUAGGCUUUAUAGCAAUCUUGGAAGGAAAGCCAGGCAAGAUCUGCUCUCCCCCUACUUCUAAUGAGAUUCCAGAUUCUCCAAGAGGCUCAGUAAUGGCCAAGGACAUGCAGCUAGUUGCAGAGGAGCUGAAUGCAGACGCGGGUCCUCUAUCAGCAAAUUCCCUGCUGUGUCAUUCUUUAAUGUUGUUUUCUUCGAAAUGAAAAGUUUGUAGCAUUGAAAAACACGCUGGCAGCAAGGCGACUAUCCAAUGCAAUCGCCACCAUGAGUAUAAUUUCCUUCAGAAAGAGAUUUUAGUUUCUCAUAGAAGUUCUCCUGAACCUGACCGUCAAUCUCAGGAAAGGUCACCUCCCACGACUGAGAGUGUAACAUCAUAAAACCAGUGCCCUGUGAGCCUGCUCCACGUGAUCAGAUGAAGCUCCCUUUCUGAUUGCAGCCUCCUGAAGCAGAAGCCUAAAGCCUGCUGGAAAGGCAUUCAGCCCCUGCUUUGCACAGGAUGGUAUAGAUUCGUCUUUUGGCUUUGAACUAUGUUCAUUUCUGUAUGCAUAAUUAAUUUAAAAGCUGCUGCCACAUAGCAUUCUGUCUGCCCUUUGGUUUCUAUUAGAUUUGUUAAAAAGACCUUCUAAAGUUGACCAAUAAAAUGUUUUGUUUUGUUUUUUCCAAAAUUGAACAAACAUACAAAUAACAACAACAGAACAAAGCUCUGCUGGAGUUGCUGAGAGGGCCCAGGAGUGAGCCCCCUGACCUUUCCAGACACGCCAGGCCCAUUGCUCCCCUGCUUGGCCUGCUCUCUGCCUUGCAGGCUCUGGAUCUGCUCCCCUCCUGCCCAGGACUGGGGCUCCUCUUCAGAUUUCAGCUCAAUUGCCAUUUCUUUCUAGUAACCUUCCCUGAGCACUUCAUCUAAUGUCACCAAGCCUUGAGAUUGGUUUGUUUUCUCGUCAUGCUUGUGCAGCCAUUCAGGUGACUGAGGUUGAAAGGGAACUACUUGUUCAAGAUCACAUUCUUAGAAAAUUGGUGAUCUGAGUCUAUUGACUUCUAAAUCAAGGUUCUUCAUAAUCCUCAUCUCUAGCCAGAUGCUGCUGAUUCAAUUAGCUAAUCCACUGAGAAAAAGAAUGCAGGACGUUGUAGAGUCCUGUGUGCGUUGAAUUCAGAGCACUCCAGGAGUCAUUUAGACUCUCCCAGCUCUGUUCCCUUGCUGUCUCCUCCCUCCUGGCUCCCUCUCCUGACUGUCAACUCCAUGAAAAGUCUGGUGAAUCACUGCCUGUGAUAAAGGCUGUACACGUGUUGACUAUGGAGACUCCAUUGAGCCUGAAGUCGUGGAUAAGGAUGGCCAUACCGCAGAAAGGGCUCACUGUGUGUAUUAAGCACUGCAUUUGUAUUAAUAUGCAAACCCUGAGUGGUGGCUCUGUGUGACAUCAGGGAAGCUAUGUGGUUAAAUGAUGGCCCUGACUUUCACAAUCACAAACAGGUAUGAAAUGAAGAGUGCAAACUGUCCCUCCUCCACUCAGUUCCUAAGUUGUUGGACUCUUUCUUGGCGAUGUCCCUCAUGCAGAACCUCCUCUCCUCCAGGCCCUUGAUCACCAUCUGACUGCUUAAAAAGAGCCUCUUAACUGGUCUCCCUGGCUGAGGUCUCUAGUAUCUUUCCUACUCAAGUCUCUACAACUUCUGUUGACCAAAUCUGAUGAUGUCAUGUCCAUGGUCAGAAACAUUUAACAAUGUGAAUUAUCUACCAUACAAAGUACACAUUAUUUAGUAAGGAAUUUAGAGCCCUCCCCUGGUCACAUCUGGUCUCAUUUCAGAAUGAAACUUUCCAGUAAUCAGUACUCAUUUUUUCCAACUCAAAACUUUUGCUCAUAUGUUCUUUCUAUGGGGUGUCAGUAAUUCUUACUUGUAUUUCCACAAUCCAAAGCCUGCCUAUUUCUCAACAUCCAAAUAGGAAGCCACCCGGUCUGUCAAUCCAGGAGGGAGUAUCCUUGCAUCGGCACACCCAAGUCCUUUGGGUUUUACCUGCCAUAUUCAACCCUUAUAUUCUGGUUCUGUAGUGUCUCAACUUCCUCUGCCUUCCACCCAACUUCACUUUGACUAGGAAGUACAUUCUUUGAGGCAGGGGAUCAAGCCUGGGUCACCUCAUUGUCCUGCCUGCACCUAGCACAGAGUCAUGCUUAGGGGUUCAGCAAGCAGCUGUGGCAUGAUGGAAUAAAAAAUAUAAUCACUGGGAUAUUUCGUUGAUUUGUUUGUCCUCCUUUGUUGCUGAACAUCUGUUUUUCA
This 7760-nucleotide long non-coding RNA is filed under the name Marmota monax (woodchuck). The record is from RNAcentral. Lineage: Eukaryota; Metazoa; Chordata; Mammalia; Rodentia; Sciuridae.